CUCCUACGGGAGGCAGCAGUGGGGAAUCUUGCGCAAUGGGCGAAAGCCUGACGCAGCAACGCCGCGUGAGCGAAGAAGGCCUUCGGGUUGUAAAGCUCUGUCAGGGGGAAAGAAGGCACCUGGGUUAAUAGCCCAAGGGUUGACGGUACCCCCAAAGGAAGCCACGGCUAACUACGUGCCAGCAGCCGCGGUAAUACGUAGGUGGCGAGCGUUGUCCGGAAUCAUUGGGCGUAAAGAGCGCGUAGGUGGCUUGUCAGGUCUGAUGUGAAAUCCUGGGGCUCAACCCCAGACCUGCAUCGGAAACCGGCUUGCUAGAGUCUGGGAGAGGAGAGUGGAAUUCCUGGUGUAGCGGUGAAAUGCGUAGAUAUCAGGAGGAACACCGGUAGCGAAGGCGGCUCUCUGGAACAGUACUGACACUGAGGCGCGAAAGCUAGGGGAGCAAACAGGAUUAGAUACCCUGGUAGUCCUAGCCGUAAACGAUGGACACUAGGUGUCGGGGGUGUCGACUCCCCCGGUGCCGAAGCUAACGCAUUAAGUGUCCCGCCUGGGGAGUACGGCCGCAAGGCUAAAACUCAAAGGAAUUGACGG
Molecule: ribosomal RNA, 588 nt
Filed under: uncultured bacterium
Lineage: Bacteria
Description: bacterial SSU rRNA
Rfam family: Bacterial small subunit ribosomal RNA
Source: RNAcentral